GCGAACGUUGGCGGCAUGGCUAAAACAUGCAAGUCGAACGCGAAAGCGGGGCAACCCGCGAGUAGAGUGGCGAAAGGGCGAGUAAUGCGUUUCUAACGUGCCUCAAGGCCAGGGAUAGCUCGGGGAAACUCGAGGUAAUACCUGAUGAUCCGGCUGGACUGCAUGGUCUGGCCGGCAAAGGCUUGCUUCCUUGAGAUCGGGAAACGUCCUAUCAGCUAGUUGGUGAGGUAACGGCUCACCAAGGCGAAGACGGGUAGCCGGUGUGAGAGCAUGACCGGCCGCAUCGGGACUGAGACACUGCCCGGACUCCUACGGGAGGCUGCAGUAACGAAUCUUCCGCAAUGGGCGCAAGCCUGACGGAGCAAUGCCGCGUGCAGGAUGAAGCCCCUCGGGGUGUAAACUGCUGUCAGGGUUUACCAACGCCAUGAGGAAACCCAGAGGAAGGGGCGGCUAACUCUGU
RNAcentral lists this ribosomal RNA (460 nucleotides) under uncultured bacterium. RNAcentral describes it as "bacterial SSU rRNA". It matches the Rfam family "Bacterial small subunit ribosomal RNA", at positions 29 to 506 of the family's 1533-position model. The record is from RNAcentral.